GUUGCAGUGGACAAGAGGUCUAAGUCACCUCCCCUUCAAGGAGGAGAUCGUGGGUUCAAAUCCCACCUGCAAUA
This 74-nucleotide transfer RNA is filed under the name Crassvirales sp. Its description in RNAcentral is "tRNA-Glu". It matches the Rfam family "tRNA". Rfam says of the family: Transfer RNA (tRNA) molecules are approximately 80 nucleotides in length. Their secondary structure includes four short double-helical elements and three loops (D, anti-codon, and T loops). Further hydrogen bonds mediate the characteristic L-shaped molecular structure. tRNAs have two regions of fundamental functional importance: the anti-codon, which is responsible for specific mRNA codon recognition, and the 3' end, to which the tRNAs corresponding amino acid is attached (by aminoacyl-tRNA synthetases). tRNAs cope with the degeneracy of the genetic code in two manners: having more than one tRNA (with a specific anti-codon) for a particular amino acid; and 'wobble' base-pairing, i.e. permitting non-standard base-pairing at the 3rd anti-codon position. The record is from RNAcentral. Lineage: Duplodnaviria; Heunggongvirae; Uroviricota; Caudoviricetes; Crassvirales.